ACCCAAGCCAGAUAGAAAUAGAAAUUCCUGUAUGUUUUAGAAGAAUUGUUUAUAAUUUGAUAUAAUGUUAUCAAAUUUCUUAUUAUAAAAAAAUUUGACAUCCAGAGCCUGUCUAGGAAGUUCUGUGUUCUUUUCUACACCCUAUCUUCCCACCCCCCACAUUAGAUAGGUUUUCUAAAGAAAAAGAAAUCUUUUCUAAAGGAUUAGAUUCUGAACGAGGAACUGAAAGAGGUUGUGGAAACUUUUUGAUUAAAAAGAGGAAGAAUUAUUGUCUUGGUCAUCUAGUGCUGCAUAACAGAAAUACCACAAGUGGAUGACUUUAACAAAGAGUUUAGUAUUUUGAGUGCCUUCCAGCCUACAGGGCUCAUCUUCUAGCACUAUCAGACAGUAUUCUGUUAUGAUCUUCAUGACUGUUUAGUCCAGUAGACUAGAAGUCUGAAUUCAGGGCGCCGGCUCCAGGGGAAGACUUUCUGUCUCUGUUGGCUCUGGAGGAAGGUCCUUGUCAUCAGUCUUCCCUUAGUCUGGGAGCAUCUCAGCCCAGGAACCUCAGUGAUUGGAUAAUAAAAUUAUCUGAAUUCAUUAUGUACCACAACAUACUCUCUGAGUAGUCAGAAUCUCAACUGGAAAUGAAUGGAACACUCACAAUGCAGUCAUUUGAGGAGAGUUUAUUUACAAAGGGACUGUUCAUAAAGGCGUGGACGGGAUGUGUGAGAACCAGAAGAAAUAGCGCAAGAACCCAGGCAUACCUCAGAGAUAUUGCGGGGUUCCAUUCCAGACCACUGCAAUGAAGUGGAUAUUGCAAUAAAAGUCAGUGUUUUCCAAAUCACUGUUGCAGAAGCAACAGGAACUCCAUGGCUGGUUGUGUUUGUACAGAGGAAAAACAAAUAUGCUAAGGAAUUCUGCAUAUGGCAGGUUUGUAAUAAGGAUCAAACAAGAUAAUGUAUGUUAAGAGCUGGACAUGAAAUCUUUUCUUAAAGGAGGGAAUUCUGCUGCUAAGAACAAUAGGAUUUCGCUUCAGUGGUGAAAUUAUCAUUAUUAUCCUCAAGAGACAGAGAAAUUGAUUGACUGGCUCAGAACAUGAGGAAAUGACCCUGAAAGAAUUAUGGAAGUGUCCAAGUUUCCCUGUUUACAGAAGGGAAGAUGAAUAGUUUUAUCCGCUAUCUAGUAGCAGUCAGUUCACAUCCAUGGUCAUAACUACAUUGGCCUGCUUUUAGAAGAACAGGCUGAAAAUUCCAGAGGACCCGGCUACCCCCACCUCAAAUACCAAGGUCUUAAAGGUCCAUGGUCAGAACUGCAGUGGGCUGCUCUUAUAGGCACUGGCUAAAACUCCAGCAUUGCUCUAGGGACCUGGCCACCUCCAACCCAAAUACCAAGUUCUUAAAGGAUUGAAGUCAUUUUGGCUUGUCCACUGAGUUACAUAUACCUAAAAACCACAAAUACUUGGCGAUGGAAUGGACUUCGCAUUUUUCAGAGCAACAUGAGCUCUUUACAAAUGUCAUCCCAGUGCCUUCUGGAUGCCAUGGCUUCUGUUAAGAAAUCAAUUGUUGAUCUUAUUGAGGAUCCCUGUACAUGGUGAGUCAGUUCUCUCUUGGUGCUUUCAAGAUUAUCUCUGGCUUUUGGCAGUUUGAUUAUAAUGUGUCUUCAUGUGGAUCACUUUGAGUUUAUCCUGCUUGGAGAUUGUUUAGGUUCUUGGAUGCUUAUAUUCAUGCCUUUCAUCAGAUUUGGAAACUGUAUGAUGAUAUGCAUGAUGGCGUUUCACAAGUUCUUUAAAAUGUUUUUAUUUUUCUUCACAUUUUUUUCUUUUUGCUCUUCUGACAAAUAUAAAUUAUCCUAUAUUCACAUUUACUGAAUUUUUCUUUUGCCUGCUCAAAUCUGCUGUUGUAACCCUCAGGUGAAUUUUUCAUCUCAUUUAUUGUACUUUUCAGCUUCAGGAUUUCUUUCAUUUUUUUAAUCAUAUAUAUCUUUUUCUUGUUAUUCUUAUUUGGUGAGCUGUAGUUCUUCUAGUUUCCUUUAGUUCUUUGUCCAUGAUUUCCUUUAGCUCUUUCAGCAUAUAUAAGGCAGUUGACUUAUAGUCUUUGUCUAAUAAAUCAAUGUUUGGGCUUUCUCAAGGACAGCUUUUGUUAAUUUCUUCUUAAUGCUGUUGUGAAUGGAAUUGUUUACUCAAUUUCAUGUGUAGGAUGUUUAUUGCUAGUAUAUAUAAUUACAAUUGAUUUUUUAAUGUUUAUUUUGUAUCCUGAAAGCUUGCUGAGCUCAUUUAUUAGUGAUAAUAGUUUUUUUCUGUGGAUUUCAUAGGAUUUACUACAUGCAAGAUCAUGCCAUCUGCAAAUAGAGAUAGUUUUUUUUCUUCAUUUCAAAUAUGGAUGAUUUUUAAUUAAUUUUCUUACAUAAUUGAUCUGUCUGGAACCUCUAGUGCAAUGCUGAAUAGAAUUUGGUGAGAGCAGAAACCCUUGUCUUGUUCCUGAUCUUACAGGAACAUAUUCAGUCUUUCACCAUUAAGUAUGGUGUUAGCUGUGGAAAUUGUAGAUUUUCUUUAUCAACUUGAUGAACUUCCCUUGAAUUUCUAGUUUGUUAUUUUUAUUACGAAGGUAUGUGUGAGUUUUUCAAAGUGUGUUUCCUGUGUUUAUUGGUAUGAUCAUGUGGUUUUUGCUGUUUAUGUCUGUUUUAUGGUAUAUUACAUUAAUUCAUGUUUGAACAUUAUACACAACAGUUUGAUGAUUGUUUUUCUUUUGGUCUUUCUCAUGAGAACAUAUGACAUUUAUAGUUUUUAGCCAUUAACCCUGAGAUGUGCCAAAGUCACUAUGUCCUUUCCAAAGCUGCAGUGAUGGAGGAUGAUACCUUUUAAAUUUGGGAUUAUGUGUUCUUAUUCUAUAUAUGUAUAUAUAUGUAUGUAUUUUGAAGGGACAUCUUCCCUUUCAUUUCUGAGUAAGGCAUAUGGAAAUUGUGAUUAUAUUUCACCAUGGAAAUUAAUAAAGUUAUUACAAUAUCUAGUCCCCUUUUUGAAUAGCUGUUCUGUAGUCUUUACCAUGGUACUGCUGUGGAAUGUAAGAAAAUUUUAUCUACCUCACAAUCACUAAUGGAAUAGUGCCGACUCUGGGACUUAUGACUUUGCUACCACUUUUGUAUCAUGGGCUGGAAGCUUUGUUGGUACCAUCUGGAUGUUGUUUGGACAUUUCAUUUGAUACAAAACAAAGGUUUAGGACCCCCUGACAGGUAUCUGUCUUAUGAUAACCAGAUGUUUCCACCUGUUUGUGAUAAAAAAAGUCAAACAUGUCUGGCAUAGAAAAAGGGAGUUAUUCCUAAUUUUGGAAGAUCCCUUAAUUGUGUUAAAACACAAUUUGUAGACAUUUGGUAUAUUUUCAAAUGUUCAAAUGGAUAAUGCCAGUAACUCUAUCCAGCAGGUUAGUUUGUUCAGCUCUUUGAUAACAGUCAUUCUGGCAGGCCCAUUUCAAUCCAUUGAUACUUCUAAUCAGGUGGUGUACAAAAAGGUUAUAACUAGAAUUAUUUAUGAUCACAGUAAAAUUUUCCUUAACUUUUUUUUUAGGUUAAAAUAAUUUCUGCCAUGCCCAAUGAUUCUGAACUCUGAGAACUCAACAGGAUUCCUCUGCAAGCACUAGAAUAGAUUCAAAAUUUCUUUUAAGAAAACAUUUGGCCAUGCCUGAAGGCACCCCUACAGCCAGUUCUAUGUGUGGGUGGGCUGGUUUUCUGCCUCAGCAAAAAUACAAGUUAGGUCUCAGAAUUGCCAUAUAACAGAAUAUCAGCUUUGUCUUUAGCUUAUCAGAUAUCUAAAGCAUGAGGGUUUCACUUUAAUCAAUAGCUUGGGAUAUCAGAAUUCCAGACAUAUUUGAGAGCUCAACCUUGAAGCAACUGCUAUGCAGCUCCUGCCAAAAGUACAAUUGAUACAACUGUUAUUUGAGAGAAUGCCUGAGCUACAUUAAAGCCUUCUAAAUUCUUGCGGUUCUAUCCCUAUACCAAGUUAGAUCUACAGAGUGCAAUAGGCUUGGGCUUUAUUAGCUGAAAUCCCACUGGAAAUGCUUUCACUUGAGCUACAAUUUAAUGAUUUGACCUUGACUUUUAUUGUGGGUCUAGAUAAGACACAGCUUUUUGAAGAACUUCGUGUAUUUUGUGGAAAAAAAAGAAAAUGACCCUAAAAGAUAUUGCCAACUAUGUUAAUCUGUAUAAAUAAUGGUAGUUGUUAGGUGCUGUUGAGUCAAUUUUUGACUCAUAGUGACCCAGUGUGACAGAGUAAAACUGCCCCAUAGGGUUUUGUAGGCUGUAAUCUUUUAUUUUUUUUUUUCUGAAAUGGGGUCAGUAUGUGUAUAUUGUAUUCUAACCUGCUUAUUCCCACAUAAAAUAUGUCAUUAGUCUCAUGAUGUGAUUAAAUAGUCUCCUACAAUAUCAAUUUUAAAAGCUGCAUAGGUUGUUGUUGGGCCAGGUGGCAACUAACAAUAGUUCCAUAUAGUUGUGACAUAAUUAUUUAGUCAAUCCCUAUUUGCUGGAUAAGUAAGUUGUUUUCAAUAUCAUUAUUAUAAACAAGAUUGUGAUAAACAUUGUUGAAAAAUCUUUUGUGGGCAUUCAUAAUGAUUUCUUUAAGAUGCGUUAUUGGAAGUAAGUUGUUUGGCCAAUGGCUUUUAAUACAUAUUGCCCAACCGUACCAAUUUUUUAUUCCCACUAGCAAUGUAUGGAUUGACACGGUGGCUGCAACAAUGGGCUCAAGCAUAGCAACAAUUGUGAGGAUGGUGCAGGACCAGGCAGUAUUUCAUUCUGUUGUACAUAGGGUCACCAUGAGUCAGAACUGACUCGACAACACCUAACAACAACAACAGCAAUGUCUGAGAGUUCCACUUCCCUACAUCAACACAGGGUAUCAUACACUUUUUUUAAUUGGAAAUGAAUUAUUUUAACAUGCAUUUCUUUUAUUGCUAAUGAAGUUGAACUUUUUUUCAUAUAUUUAUUGGUUGUUUGUUUUUCUUUUGUGAAUGUCCAUUUACUUUGCUUAUUUUUGAUUAUUUAAUCUUUUUUAAUUAUUAUAAUUCUUAUUAAAUAAUAUUUGAACGCUUUGUGUAGGCUGUAAUCUUUACAGGAGCAGUUCAACCCUUCUUUUCUCCUGCGGAGCCACUGGGUGGGUUAGAAGCGCUGUCGUUUUGGUUAGCAACCAAGCAUUUAACCAUUGCACCACCAGGGUCCUUAUAAACAAUGGAGGAUGAUAAAAAAUUGUCAACUAUUAGCCCCUCAUCAGUAAUUCUUUUUUAAAAAAUUUUUUAUUUUACUUUAGAUGAAGGUUUACAGAGCAAACUAGUUUCUCAUUAAACAAUUAAUAUACAUAUUGUUUUAUAGCAUUGGUUGCCAACCCCACAAUAUGUCAACACUCUCCUUCUUGACCUUGGGUUCCCCAUUUCCAUUUGUCUAGCUUUUCUGUCCCCUCCUGCCUUUUCGUCCUUGCCCCUGAGCUGGUGUGCUUAUUUAUAAUUUUCAAUUUAAAGGUCUUCACCUCCUUGGUUAAAUUUAUUCCUAGGUAUUUUAUUCUUUGAGAUGCUAUUGUAAAAGGAAUGGCCGUCUUAAUUUUCUUUUCACAUUGCUCAUUGCUGGUGUAUAGACCAACUGAUUUCUGUGUGUUGGUCUUGUACCCUGAAAUUUUGCUGAAUUUUUUUGUUAGCACUAGUAGCUUUCCUUUGGAUUCAUGAAGAUUUUCUAUAUAUAAUUAUCGUGACAUCUGUGAAUAGAGACAAUUUUCCUUCUUCUUUUUGAUUUGGGUGCCUUUUAUUUCUUCUGGUUUAAUUACCCUGUCUAGGACUUCCAGCAUGAUAUUGGAGCAGUGGUGAAAGCAGGCAUCCUUUUCUUGUUCCUGAUUUUAGGAGAAAAGCUUUCAGUCUUUCACCAUUGAGUAUGAUAUUCUCCUUGGGUUUUUAAUAAAUACCCUUUAUCACGUUGAGGAAUUUCCCUUCUAUUCGUGAAAGAAUGUUGGAUUUUGUCUAAUGCUUUUUCUGCAUCAAUAAGAUGAUCAUUUUUUUCUUUAUUCUAUUAAUAUGGUAUAUUACAUUGGAUUGAUUUUCACAUUUUGAACCACCUUUGUAUUCCUGGAAUAACUCCCACUUGGUCAUGUGUGUAACCAUUUUAAUAUGCUGUGGGAUUUGCCUUGCUAGAACUUUGUUGAGAUUUUUACAUCUAUAUUUACAAGACAUAUUGGUCUGUAGUUUUCUUUUCUUAUGGUGUCUUUAUCUGGGUUUGGCAUCAGAGCAAUACAGGUAUCAUAAAAUAAGAGGCAGUGUUCUACCCUCCUCUACUUUUUGAAAGAGUUUGAGAAGGAUUAAUACUAAUUCUCCUUUAAAUUCACCACUGAGGCCAUCUGGUCCUGGACUUUUCUUUGUUUGGAAGCUUUUGAUUGCUGUUUCAAUCUCUUUCCUUUUUAUGGGUCUGUUAGGAUUUCCUGUUUCUCCUUGAGUCAGUUUAGGUAGUUUGUAUGUUUCUAAUAAUUUAUAUAUUUCAUCUAGGCUAUUUAGUUUAUUGUCAUAAAAUUGUUCAUAGUAUUUCCUCAUGAUCUUUUAAUUUCUGAAAGAUUGGUAAUAAUGUUGUCAUGUUCAUUUCUGAUUUUAUUUACUAAUAUCUCCUCUUUUUUUUUUUCUUUGUCAGAGCAACUUGAAGUUUGUCCAUGUUGUUGAUUUUUUUGAAGAAACCAACUUUUGGUUUUUUUGAGCCUCUUCAUUGUUCUGUUCUCUGUUUCAUUUACCUAUGCUUUAAUAUUAAUUAUUUACUUCCUUCUAUUUGCUUUUUUUUGGCUCUUCCCUUUCUAGUUUCUCAAGUUAUAAAGUUAGGUUAUUGAUUUGGGCUCUUUCUUCUCUUUUAAUGUAGGUGUUUAUAGCUAUAAAUUUUUUCCUGAGUACUUCCUUUGCUGGUUUUGGUAUGUUGUGCUUUCAUUUUCAUUAGCCUCUAAGUAUUUUCUGAUUUCCCUUAUUAUUUCUUCUUUGACUCAUUGAUUGUUUAAUAGUAUGUUGUUUAAUUUUCACAUUUUUGUACAAUUUCCAGUUUUCUUUCUAUUAUUGAUUUCUAGUUUCAUUCCACUAUGGGAGGAGAAAAUACUUUGUGUGAUACCAGUCUUUUAAAAUUCAUUGAGACUUGUUUUGUGACCUAACAUAUGGUUUGUCCUGGAGAAUGAUCCACAUGCAUUGGAGAAGAGUAUAUAUCCUAUUGUAGUUGGGUGAAGUAUUCUUUAAAUGUGUAUUAGGUUUAGUUGAUUCAUAGUAACAUUUGGAUCCUCUAUUUCCUUCUUAAUCUUCUGUCUAGAUGUUCUAUCUGUUAUUGAAAGUGGUGUGUUGAAAUCUCCAACUGUUAUUGUAGAACUGUCUAUUUCUUUCUUUAAUCCUCUCAAUGUUUGCUUCACAUAUUUUAGGGUUCUGCUAUUAGGUUUAUAUUUAUUUAUAAUUGUCAUACCUUCUUCAUGAAUUGAUCAGUUUAUCAUUAUAUAAUGCCCUUCUUUGUCUCUUAUAACAGUUUUCAAUUUAAAGUCUAUUUUGUCUGAUAUUAGUAUAGCCACCCUGGCUCUCUUUUGGUUUCUGCUUACGUGGAAACCUUUCUGGUGUUCUUACUGAAUGCUUUGGGUGGUCAAUGAGGUUCUCCACUCUGGUUGCUGAAAAAAUGACCAUUUCUCAAUCCUGUGUGAGUUCUGUCAGUUCAGUUUACUGUCCCCUCCAGUAGUUUUUCUUUAGCUGGUAUUUAUUCAUUAUCUGAUCUCUCAUCCUAUGAAUAUGCUCUGCUUCUUAUUAUUUAGCUGAAAACUCAAGAUUCCCAAGUAUUCCUUCCUCUCUGAUAUUCUCCCACCAUUCUGGGUGCCUCAGCCUCCCUAAACUCUGAUCUGACUCUCCUUAUCUCGAGCAUUCUUCAUGAACUUGGGCUUUGUUGCAUCUUUAGUUAAUGUCAGUUCAUCACUGGUGUCAAAUAUUCUGAAGAUGGAAUCAAGACUUUCCCUUAUUUAAAGUUUUCUACCUGUGAACUCGUGAGACUCUAGUGAGCUAUCCAUGUUUUAGAGCCCAGCCAUCAAACUUCCAAACGACAGGAGCUUCUUUCUGCUUUAAAGCCUAGAUACCAUCAUUUUGGAUCAUCGGGGAGUUCUCUUUGAUCUCUAGCUUUACCUCUGGGUUUCCAAUCCUUGAUUUAUGCCUCUCUAUAUUUUUAUAUCAUGUACCCCCAGCAAUUGGUGGGCCAUUUCUUGCACUUGUUGUAGCUGUUGUAUCUCAGCGCCCUGUCUUUGGUUUAUUGCCCCAUCCUGUGGUCUGUUCCUGUCAUUUAUUCAGUGAGGGCCUGGUGUAUCUCUGAAGCCUCUUAGCUAUCCUGCCCUGCCACCAGACUUUGGUAUGCUGCCACUAUUCAGUUAGUGAAAGUCCUGUGGGAAUAGAUCAGUUAGUUGUUACAGACUUGCUCUGUGGUUACGGCUUUGCAGGAUCCUAAUCCGCCAUGCCGGCCCACAUAUGCUAGUUAAAAGUUAGUUAAUAGAUUGAUUGGCUUAUCUUUCCUUAGUCUAUGACAUGUUUGCUAUUCUUCCUGCUUUGCUUGGGGAAGAAAGCAGGUAUGUGCCUGUUCCCUCCUAAAAAAAAGUCUCAUGCCUUUGUGGGUUUUAGAUCAUUUGGGUUCCUUUGCAUCCACCUUUUUAAUGUGUUAAAAAUAUGAUUUUUGUGGUUUAUACCACUUUUUCUUAUUUUUACAGUGGGAAAGAUAGGCUUUUGAGACUUUCUAAAUUGAAACCAAAUGUGAAAGACUCCCAUGUAGUAUUUUUCUGUUUUAUUUUUUUUAAUUUAUAUAUUUUCCUCCACCUCGCCUACUAUCCAUGCAAACCCUGAAAAUAAAUAUGCUUUCAUUCCUCUACACUUCUCUAUGAAAAGAAAAACUUUAAUGUGUUAUUUUCUACAUGUAGGUCACCUCACCUGAGAGGCAUCGUUUUAGGGAAAGCAUAAAAGAUGCUUUAGCUCCUUGUUGAAUUAAAAAUAGCUCUCAGCCAAGGUAAAAUAUUGCCAUGCAAAUUGGAGUAAUAAGCAAAAAGUUAUUAGUGCUGAGAAUAAAUACCUAAAGUCUGGUAUUUAUCAUUGUUUUACUUUAAUUUCUGAACUGACAGAUGAUAAUUGCUUGGGCAAUUAAAAUAAUUAGGAAAAUGUGGAGGCACAAAAGGAGACGCCUUUUAGACAUGCAAUUUAAAUGCAUAAGGAAAAAUUCACGUGUGGUUGUUGCACCUCAUUCUGGAGCAGACUGAUUACCAGGUGUUUUUUAGUGGGCUGAUGAUUGAUAGGUUACACAUCAUCUGAGUUGUGUCUGGGAACGAGGCCUGCAAGAGACAGCCUUACCUCAAAAGGUAAGUCUAGGCAUAAAGAAGGCUUCUGGUGAUCUUGUAGUUUAUAUUCUGUAAAUGCCUCGGAUGAUUUUCAGUACCCAAGUUUGUUCGAUAUCUUGUAAAUUUGCAGUGCGUUUUUUGGAAUAGACAAUUUUGUACUACACGUAAACAAGGAUAGGAAAAUAUGAGUAAAGUCUUCGGGUGAUCUUACCGUUGUAAAAUGCUUAUCCACUUUGUGAGCUGCAGGGGACAGUCUGGGGGAGGCUGUGGAAAGAAUUAGAAGAUUGACAGUGGCUUUGUGAGAGAAAUGACAGUUCGUGUGAAUAGAAUAUUCUUAGGUAAGAUAGGCCAACCUUAAUUUAGAGAGAAUACACCUUAAAAUCAAUCAGGGGGCAUUAACUGAGAGAACCACUUUGGUGUCUGUUUGCACAAAAAAAACUUAAGCUACUCUAUAUUUGGCUGGGAUAGUGAUAGCUGGGAUUGGAGGCAGAGAUUGAUGAUACCAGUUUCUAAGGAGAGACCAUUUCAGAAGUAAAUAGUAUUUUCUUAAAAUUGUGUAAAAUUUGCUCUAUUAGGCAUGACUUAUUUAGUUCAGGUAUGCUUUCUAUUAAGUUACUCAUUCAGAAUAUCUCAGUAGACUUCUGAUAGUUGUAUGCACAAAUACCAAAUUAUUUAUUUCAGUUAACACUCCCUUGAUUUAACUGAUUUAAAGGUAUAUUCUAUCAAAAUUAAAACUGGCCUUUAUUAAAUAGGAUUUUUUUCUUCCCCGCAGAAGCUCAUUUAUCAUAUUAAACCCCAGCCAGACAGGACAUGAAAUACUUUUGUGCAGUUUCUAUUCAUCUAUUGUCCAGGUACAGGUGAAGAUAAACAAGGUCAUCCCAUAGCAAAAUUGAGAAGAUGAUUAGGUUUGAAAUGAGAGUAUUCAGUGAAUUUGGACAAGAGAAGCCUUACUAAAAAUGAUGCUAGAUGAUACUAGGGUCAGCAACAAUCAUUUGAGAGAGAUGCUUGAGUGUGAUAAGCUGGGCAGCUUAUUUCAAAAUAAAUUAAUAUGCCAUUCUGUUGUCCAUUACUUAAACAUGAUAAAUGAAACCAAAUAAAUGACUGAUUAAAAAAUAACUCUCUCAAAUGACAUUUAGGAAGGUGUUUAAACUAACAACACUAGUCAAUCACCAGUAUUUAUUGAAUGCUCACUUCUUUAUGUUAUGUUAUUAAGCACAAACAUUUAUUGAGUGUCUACUCUGUGCAGAUCACUCUGUAAGUUACAGGGAACACUGAACUCAGCAUUUUGGAAUAAGCAGGGUGUUCCUGAAUAAACAGAAGGCGUGGUCCCCACCUAUCAAAGCAGUGCAAAUUAACAGAGUAUAAAAUUUAGGUGUGAUUAUACACAAAGCAAGGAGGUGAUCUGAGUAGGGUAAGCAUAACUACAGAAAGUGUCAACUUGGUUGGCAAGCAAGUUAAAACUGUUGUAGCCUCAGUAGGUUUGCUCCAUGAAUAGGACUAUAUUUUGAAGCCCUACCAGAAUGCCCUUUAUGUUCAAGCAGCAAUUUACUUGCCUUUAUCUGCUCAGAGUAGAAAUACCAUCUCAGAGACAUGAAUGAAAUUUUCAGCAUACUUUCUCAAAAGAUUUUUUUGUGAGUUCUUUAGAUUUUAGAUUUUUUUUCUUUGUUCUAGGAAGUACAUCAAGUUCUGAGUCAAAGCCCAAAUUAGUACUGCUAGUGAUUCUCUUAAGAGAUGACAGAAGUCUAAAGUAGUUUGGUGUCAUUGGACUUCUUCUUCUCAACCAAAGGACUGGAACAAGGGUUGCUGCACUGUGAAUACAUGAAUCUUGUAAACCAUACUAUGGAGAUCUACCCUCAAAAGUUCUUCCCAAUCAUCCAUCCUAGUUUCCUUACGGAUAAAAUUCUUUGGAUAUUUUAAAACUUUGGCUGGAAUUUACAUUGAUUUGAGAUUAAACCAAAAACUGAACCUGUUGCUUUCGAUUCUAUUCCUACUCAUAGCGAUAGUAUAGGACAGAGUAGAACUGCCCCAUAGGGUUUUCAAGGAGGGCCUGGUGGAUUUGAACUGCUGACCUAUUGGUUAACAGCCAUAACUCUUAACCACUACACCACCAGGCUUUCUGACUUGAGAUUAGAGCUGUGGGACUGGUGAGGAGAGAAAUCUGUAAUUCGUAGCAUUGGAAAACCAAACUUCUAAAACGGCCUUGGCAGCAACGGCCCCUCUCAGCAGUUAUGUAUCUGUUCCAAAUUUGGCUUUGGAUAGACCUUGUUGUUAUAUCAACUUUGCUAUGAAAUAUGCUUAAUUCAUCUCAUUUGCUUUUCUGAAUUUUUUUUUUUAGCUUAAAUAUGGAUGUGAGAUAAUUUUGGAAGUAAGGAAUAACAUUUAGCAAAUCCAAAAAAUACUCUUCCAUUUACAAAUCAGUUUCAAAAACAACAUGUUAAUUUAAAUCACCCUUUGAGCCUAAUCAGAGGACUUAUCUGUGAAAGCAGUUGACUGAUCUCGGCUCCCUGGGGUUAACUCUGAAGCUAUUUUUGAAAUUCAAACCUGCUUGUAUGUUUCAAAUAUAUUUUUAUUAAUUUGAAUCCCUUAGUCUCCCAUAAACAAAGCACAACUUGCCAGCUAAACAGUAUAUAAUAAACAUGGAUUUUAGAGAUAAAUAGAAGAUAUUUAAUAUAUUUACUAAUUGUUCUUCCCUGCUGUGAUCCCUAUGCCACAUAGAACCUGUGAUAAGAAUGGUAAUCUAUCUUUUAUGCUUUUCAAAGAGUUCUAGCGGGGAGGUCUUCAAUUUUUACUGAGACUUUAAAUAAACCAUGAUGGCAUUCUGGAAUAUAUCUAGGUUGGGAUUUCUUUCCAAGCCAGUUUUUGAACAGAAAGAAACACUUUCAAGCAAGAGCUCUUCCAGUAUCUACUAUGAAGUCUUUGGUCAGUUGCCUCAGUGAAUAAUCCAUUCACAGCCUGUCCUUCCACAAUGAACCGUUUAGAGUAGUUUUAAUGAUUGUGCUAUGACUUCUCAGUAUGAAGAUUUGAAAAUAGCAAUAGUAAAUCUGUUCUUUCAAACCACAAUAGGCGGUGUCACAGAGUCUGAGAUACAAGCAUACUAUAUGGAGGUUGCUGUUUAACCUCUGAUGAAGUUAUUCCCUAGGUUUUGAAAGAGAAAGAGAGGAAGGAGGGGACCUCAGUCUGGAGAUGGUUACACUCAGGUAUUAGGUAUAGUCAGUGCUAAUCCUGAAAGGGAAAAGAAAGUUCCAGUGAGAUU
Loxodonta africana (African savanna elephant) is the source of this 12566-nucleotide long non-coding RNA. RefSeq lists it as uncharacterized. The record is from RefSeq and is a predicted model, not a curated record. The transcript has 11 exons. NCBI's taxonomy places the organism in Eukaryota, Metazoa, Chordata, Mammalia, Proboscidea, Elephantidae.